ACUGAGGUUUCCUUGGAUUAGACCAAGAUUGACCCGCUGAGUACAAAAGCAGAAGGGAGCUUGAUUACAAGAUCCACCCCUCGAACAAAGGAGGAAAGUCGGCCUUAGUGAUCUAAUAAUACCAAGUGGAAGGGUUGUCGCUCAA
This 145-nucleotide non-coding RNA is filed under the name Capsicum annuum. Lineage: Eukaryota; Viridiplantae; Streptophyta; Magnoliopsida; Solanales; Solanaceae. The record is from Rfam by way of RNAcentral.